UAGGGAAUCUUCGGCAAUGGACGAAAGUCUGACCGAGCAACGCCGCGUGAGUGAAGAAGGUUUUCGGAUCGUAAAACUCUGUUGUUAGAGAAGAACAAGGAUGUUAGUAACUGAACGUCCCCUGACGGUAUCUAACCAGAAAGCCACGGCUAACUACGUGCCAGCAGCCGCGGUAAUACGUAGGUGGCAAGCGUUGUCCGGAUUUAUUGGGCGUAAAGCGAGCGCAGGCGGUUUCUUAAGUCUGAUGUGAACGCCCCCGGCUCAACCGGGGAGGCUCCUUGAAAACUGGGAGACUUGAGGUCAGAAGAGGAGAGUGGAAUUCCAUGUGUAGCGGUGAAAUGCGUAGAUAUAUGGAGGAACACCAGUGGCGAAGGCGGCUCUCUGGUCUGUUACUGACGCUGAGGCUCGAAAGCGUGGGGAGCAAACAGG
This 429-nucleotide ribosomal RNA is filed under the name Gemmatimonadota bacterium. RNAcentral's name for it is "Gemmatimonadetes bacterium partial 16S ribosomal RNA". It matches the Rfam family "Bacterial small subunit ribosomal RNA", at positions 355 to 776 of the family's 1533-position model. The record is from RNAcentral. Lineage: Bacteria; Pseudomonadati; Gemmatimonadota.